CCUACGGGAGGCAGCAGUGGGGAAUAUUGGGCAAUGGGCGCAAGCCUGACCCAGCAAUGCCGCGUGAAGGAAGAAGGCUUUCGGGUUGUAAAAUUCUUUUGUCAGGGAAGAGUAGAAGACGGUACCUGACGAAUAAGCCACGGCUAACUACGUGCCAGCAGCCGCGGUAAUACGUAGGUGGCAAGCGUUGUCCGGAUUUACUGGGUGUAAAGGGCGUGUAGCCGGGUUGGCAAGUCAGAUGUGAAAUCCUGCGGCUUAACCGUAGAACUGCAUUUGAAACUGUUAAUCUUGAGUACUGGAGAGGCAGGCGGAAUUCGUGGUGUAGCGGUGAAAUGCGUAGAUAUUAAGAGGAACACCAGUGGCGAAGGCGGUCUGCUAGACAGCAACUGACGGUGAGGCGCGAAAGCGUGGGGAGCAAACAGGAUUAGAUACCCCUGUAGUC
This 442-nucleotide ribosomal RNA is filed under the name uncultured bacterium. RNAcentral's name for it is "partial 16S ribosomal RNA". It matches the Rfam family "Bacterial small subunit ribosomal RNA", at positions 338 to 795 of the family's 1533-position model. The record is from RNAcentral.